RNAcentral lists this long non-coding RNA (647 nucleotides) under Ictidomys tridecemlineatus (thirteen-lined ground squirrel). RNAcentral's name for it is "lncRNA (ENSSTOG00000031637.1)". Lineage: Eukaryota; Metazoa; Chordata; Mammalia; Rodentia; Sciuridae. The record is from RNAcentral.
UCUGGCCCCACAACCUCAUCUCUCUCAUCCUUGGCACUGAGUAGAAGAGGCAGGACUCCUAUAGUGGGGAGUACGGCGGAGGUGGUCCAGAGUCUGGGUAAUGCAAAUGCCCAUUCGGCGACCCCAUGCGCACCCCCCCCCAACCCUGAGCGCCUGGCAUCCCGCAGGGGCGCAACCCCAGCCCCACGCCCUGCUCUCCAGCCAACUCUGCCGCCCAAGCGGAUACACCUCCGCCUUUUGCGCUCAACUUACCGUGGCUGGGCUCAGCUUUAGGCAUCCCCAAGAGCUUUUCUCUCCUUCCUCCCGCUGAGCUCUUCAUCCUCCUGCUGCUCGCCGCCCGGCGCCCUGGCCCUGGCAUCCGGGAGGAGCAGCCUCCGGGGCUGUCUGUCCCGGGGACGCACGGCUGCCUGCCGGUAGCUUCGGCGGCGAUGGUCGCGGCCAGCCGUGAGCAGCGGCCGCGGAGAAUGGUGCCCGUUGCUCCGCGCGAGCUGUCCCUGGGGCGCGGGCUGGAGGUGGCAGUCAGCGCGCCUCUGCCUCCGCCGCGCUCGCGGCGCUCCGCACGCGUCCCGAGCCCGCGCCAGCCCCAGGUGCACCGGGUGGAGAAGAGAUUGGAAACAGAGGAACAAUAGAGAACUACAAGAUCCCAG